UCGGAGCGUAAACUCCUUUUGUUAGGGAAGAACAAUGACGGUACCUAACGAAUAAGCACCGGCUAACUCCGUGCCAGCAGCCGCGGUAAUACGGAGGGUGCAAGCGUUACUCGGAAUCACUGGGCGUAAAGGACGCGUAGGCGGAUUAUCAAGUCUUUUGUGAAAUCUAAUGGCUCAACCAUUAAACUGCUUGAGAAACUGAUAAUCUAGAGUGAGGGAGAGGCAGAUGGAAUUGGUGGUGUAGGGGUAAAAUCCGUAGAGAUCACCAGGAAUACCCAUUGCGAAGGCGAUCUGCUGGAACUUAACUGACGCUAAUGCGUGAAAGCGUGGGGAGCAAACAGGAUUAGAUACCCUGGUAGUCCACGCCCUAAACGAUGUAUACUAGUUGUUGCUGUGCUAGUCAUGGCAGUAAUGCACCUAACGGAUUAAGUAUACCGCCUGGGGAGUACGGUCGCAAGAUUAAAACUCAAAGGAAUAGACGGGGACCCGCACAAGCGGUGGAGCAUGUGGUUUAAUUCGAAGAUACGCGAAGAACCUUACCUGGGCUUGAUAUCCUAAGAACCUUGUAGAGAUACGAGGGUGCUAGCUUGCUAGAACUUAGUGACAGGUGCUGCACGGCUGUCGUCAGCUCGUGUCGUGAGAUGUUCGGUUAAGUCCGGCAACGAGCGCAACCCACGUAUUUAGUUGCUAACAGUUCGGCUGAGCACUCUAAAUAUACUGCCUUCGUAAGGAGGAGGAAGGUGUGGACGACGUCAAGUCAUCAUGGCCCUUAUGCCCAGGGCGACACAC
Molecule: ribosomal RNA, 789 nt
Filed under: uncultured Campylobacter sp.
Lineage: Bacteria; Pseudomonadati; Campylobacterota; Epsilonproteobacteria; Campylobacterales; Campylobacteraceae
Description: bacterial SSU rRNA
Rfam family: Bacterial small subunit ribosomal RNA
Source: RNAcentral